This 895-nucleotide long non-coding RNA is filed under the name Capra hircus (goat). RNAcentral describes it as "lncRNA (ENSCHIG00010017340.1)". Lineage: Eukaryota; Metazoa; Chordata; Mammalia; Artiodactyla; Bovidae. The record is from RNAcentral.
GUUACUGGUCUUUUUACUUUGCUUCCUCACCUCCCCCCACGUCUGACCUGUAAAGAUCCUGGUGUCCAGCCCCCGAUAAGAUGGUUCUUUCGAGGAGCUAGCCUGCUGUCUUCUCUGUCAGCUGGCUUUCCGGAUCGAGUCGGUUUCCUUGCCUCAACACCUGGUCCCGGAUUCACAGGCCUGUUGUGUGGCGAGCAGAGCGAGCUUGGCCUUGGGAACAGUGACUUUGGGGUGGGGAGGGGGACGGGGGGGGGGGGGGGGGGGGGGAGAGGGACGGGGUCCGCAGAGCCAGGCGCUCUGAGAGGUGAGAGUGGAGGGCUGCACGCAGGCGAGCCGAGCCAACGGGCCGCUCAGAGGACACGCCGACCCCCUCCCAGCGCUGCACCUCUUCGGCCUUCUCUCUCCCUCCAUCGCAAGGCUCCGACUCGAAGCAAGUGAACGAACCUGCCCACAAGCCCAGGACAAAGGCCCAGGAGCAGGUGGGCCGGACGUUCUCUGUGCAGCAAACAAGAUACAAACGAUCAUGGUUGAUUUCCGGGAGGACAAAACCUGUGACCUGGGGCCACUCGGGUUUGCUUAAGUGUCCAAUAACAGGUGAAACCGUUCUGACCUAAGACAAAACCCUUGCGGGUAAAAGUCUCUUGAGCCUCGGGGAAAAAGCACUUUCUAUUGAGAAAUAUGAGAAAUGCCUGAAAGGGUUUUGUGGGAAAACAGGUACAGGGAUCUGUUCCCACCUUUUCAUUCAGCGUGGUUCUGAGGGGGAAAAAAAGCCUCGUGGAAUAAUUAAAGCUUCACCAAUAUGCUUAUAUUUUAAGGUCUGAAGACCAUUAGACAGAGAUAGGGAGCUAUAGUUUUAGAGUGCGGCAUUCGUUGAUUUUGGGGUUGAGUGCCAGAG